AACGAACGCUGGCGGCAUGCCUAACACAUGCAAGUCGAACGAGACCUUCGGGUCUAGUGGCGCACGGGUGCGUAACGCGUGGGAACCUGCCCUUAGGUUCGGAAUAACUCCCCGAAAGGGGUGCUAAUACCGGAUAAUGUCUUCGGACCAAAGAUUUAUCGCCUUUGGAUGGGCCCGCGUUGGAUUAGCUAGUUGGUAGGGUAAAAGCCUACCAAGGCGACGAUGCAUAGCUGGUCGGAGAGGAUGAUCAGACACGCGGGGACGGAGUGACGGCCCAGACUCUGAGGGGAGGCAGCAGUGGGGAAUAUUGGGAUAGGGGCGCGAGGCUGAUGGUGGGACGCCGCGUGGGGGAUGAAGGACGUAGGGUUGUUACCGACGUUAGCUAGGGACGAAGCAUUUUGUCACGGUACGUAGAUAAGAAGCACCGGGUCACUACGUG
Molecule: ribosomal RNA, 439 nt
Filed under: uncultured bacterium
Lineage: Bacteria
Description: partial 16S ribosomal RNA
Rfam family: Bacterial small subunit ribosomal RNA
Source: RNAcentral